AAGUUUAUCUUUGAAAAAUAGUUUCGCGUAUUUAUUCUACCAGGAAAUCUGAGCCAAGAAUCAAUAGGUAGAUAUUGAUAUACCUACUUACUAUAGGCAAGGUACCCUUUAAAAAGGAUUGCCUCGUGUUAAAAAAAAUCAUUUUGGUUCGAUACUUCGAGCAUUUCAGUACAUUUUUGAACUACACGAAGUGACCAAAUUUCAAAAAUGAAAUCUUUCUCGUUAAUUUCCGUUUUACUUUCAAUCUUUGCAUUUUUUAAAACCGUUUCGGCCGGACCUUUUCUGGGAUUCGUAAUAUGCGGGUUGCUGACCGCUGUUUUUCUACUGUUGCUGGUCCUUCUGCCACCACUGACCACGUUCUUGGCUAUAGCACUUUUGCCAUUGCUCAUAUUCCUCUGUUGUCUCGGAUAUGUGUUGUAAUUACAGAUUCAAAUCAAUUUCCACGGUUCAACGACAGCAAAAUUUAGGUUAUGGUUCAACUUAGAAUUUCUUCCGGUUCUCAAUCAAUGUUCAUUUCACGAUGGUGAUGGGGGUGAUGGUGAUGAUUUUCAAAUAAAAAUGAUUUAAUAAAAAAGUUUUAUAAUUAUCUUA
Long non-coding RNA from Planococcus citri (citrus mealybug), 591 nucleotides. RefSeq lists it as uncharacterized. The record is from RefSeq and is a predicted model, not a curated record. The transcript has 2 exons. NCBI's taxonomy places the organism in Eukaryota, Metazoa, Arthropoda, Insecta, Hemiptera, Pseudococcidae.